GGGGUGUAGCUCAGCUGGUUAGAGCGCCUGCCUGUCACGCAGGAGGUCGCGGGUUCGAGCCCCGUCACUCC
Molecule: transfer RNA, 71 nt
Filed under: human gut metagenome
Also listed under: 3 other names
Rfam family: tRNA
About the family: Transfer RNA (tRNA) molecules are approximately 80 nucleotides in length. Their secondary structure includes four short double-helical elements and three loops (D, anti-codon, and T loops).
Source: RNAcentral